UGGAUAACCUACCUAUAAGACUGGGAUACUUUCGGGAAACCGGAGCUAAUACCGGAUAACAUGUUGAACCGCAUGGUUCAACAGUGAAAGACGGUCUUGCUGUCACUUAUAGAUGGAUCCGCGCCGCAUUAGCUAGUUGGUAAGGUAACGGCUUACCAGGGCAACGAUGCGUAGCCGACCUGAGAGGGUGAUCGGCCACACUGGAACUGAGACACGGUCCAGACUCUUACGGGAGGCAGCAGUAGGGAAUCUUCCGCAAUGGGCGAAAGCCUGACGGAGCAACGCCGCGUGAGUGAUGAAGGUCUUCGGAUCGUAAAACUCUGUUAUUAGGGAAGAACAAAUGUGUAAGUAACUAUGCACGUCUUGACGGUACCUAAUCAGAAAGCCACGGCUAACUACGUGCCAGCAGCCGCGGUAAUACGUAGGUGGCAAGCGUUAUCCGGAAUUAUUGGGCGUAAAGCGCGCGUAGGCGGUUUUUUAAGUCUGAUGUGAAAGCCCACGGCUCAACCGUGGAGGGUCAUUGGAAACUGGAAAACUUGAGUGCAGAAGAGGAAAGUGGAAUUCCAUGUGUAGCGGUGAAAUGCGCAGAGAUAUGGAGGAACACCAGUGGCGAAGGCGACUUUCUGGUCUGUAACUGACGCUGAUGUGCGAAAGCGUGGGGAUCAAACAGGAUUAGAUACCCUGGUAGUCCACGCCGUAA
RNAcentral lists this ribosomal RNA (700 nucleotides) under uncultured organism. Its description in RNAcentral is "SSU rRNA". It matches the Rfam family "Bacterial small subunit ribosomal RNA", at positions 118 to 805 of the family's 1533-position model. The record is from RNAcentral.